ACUUUUCUGUAUGUAACAAAGUGCCGUUGCCUUUACAGAAAUAGAAUCUACUUGGCGUCAACAGCUUGGCUUUCUCCAGUCUCCUGAGAUGAGAAAGAAUAUCCCUUUGCUCCUUAUUUCCAGAUGAGUUGUCCUAUUGCAUUACUCUGUCGGAGUACUGCUGGCCUUCAAUAUCUCCUCAUCUCAAACAACGCUGGAAAUGAGUUGUACUUCACUACAGAAGCUAACAGUGUUAUGCCAGUAAUCACUUCAAGAAUACUAUUUACCAUCUACCAAGAGAAAGCUGAGUCUGAAGAUACCUAACCAGGCUGAAGGCAGAAGAAAUGGAUGGCCUAGAUGGGAGCUGGAGGAACCUUCAUCGCUGCAGCUUCAGAAGAUCAAAACGGUGCAUGGGAGAAGAGGCCAGAAGACUAAAAUAUUUCAGUAAAACUGGGGAAACUUCUGCUCAUUGAAUAAUUUCCUUAAAUAAUCUGUUCUCCAAGUAUUGCUUGUAUUUUUUUUUAUAUACUUUUUUUAUAUUUAGUACAGAAACUUCUGAUAGCUCAUUAGCUUGAGUAAGUUUUACAUAUCCUUGCUGAGCCUUUCUGAUGUGUUCCUUGUUGCCAGCUCCCUUUGAUCUUCAGGAUAUGCAUGUUCCACCUUGCACCCACAGCACAAAGUUCUGCACUGUGAGUCUUCUCCAAGAAGAGUUAGUCUGCUGCAGACCUCAGCAGACAAGAAAACAAGAAUAGCUUUUCUUCUGCUGACCAACUCUUGUCUUGCAAAAGAUGCAAAAACUGUUGUCUUUAGUAAGAGUCUGAGUGCUGAGAUUUAUAGUUUAAAAUCCAAUGUAUACAUUAAAUACUUAGUUAAAUUAUAGAUACAGGAGUACAGCUUUUAAGAGAUCAAAAUUAAUCCAUAUUCUUUAUCAGCACUGUCAGAGGCUCUGAUGGAGAUAUUAUAUCCUGAUUUGGGCACCAUGUUUUAAAGGAAGACUGGAGGUAUUCUUCAGGAAAGAAUAGAACAAUCAGAAAUAGAGAAAACAUGAGGAAAGUGUGAAAGAAGAGUUGAGCAACUGGAGAAAGGAAUACGUGUCAGGGAGGGGAGAGGAAAAAGGAUGACAUAACUUGUGUUAUAUGCGUUAAAGAAUCUUGCAAACAGGAAUGACCAAGCUGUUAUCUGUGUACCUAAUAGAUAGGACAAAUGGAAAUGGUGUUAAAACAUAUAAGAAAGAUUCACUUUAAAAGUAUAUUGCUUACUGACUUGCUGAAUCUUCAUUACCAAAGAUUUUCAGGAAUGAAUUAGGAAUGGCACAGUUAGAGUU
This 1303-nucleotide long non-coding RNA is filed under the name Anser brachyrhynchus (Pink-footed goose). Its description in RNAcentral is "lncRNA (ENSABRG00000021301.1)". Lineage: Eukaryota; Metazoa; Chordata; Aves; Anseriformes; Anatidae. The record is from RNAcentral.